AUUGGCACCUCUUAGAGUGAA
RNAcentral lists this microRNA (21 nucleotides) under Equus caballus (horse). RNAcentral also lists the same sequence under 1 other name. Lineage: Eukaryota; Metazoa; Chordata; Mammalia; Perissodactyla; Equidae. The record is from RNAcentral.